AACGAACGCUGGCGGCAUGCCUAACACAUGCAAGUCGAACGAGACCUUCGGGUCUAGUGGCGCACGGGUGCGUAACACGUGGGAAUUUGCCUCGGGGUAUGGAAUAACUCAGGGAAACUUGAGCUAAUACCAUAUAAUGUCUUCGGACCAAAGAUUUAUCGCCCUGAGAUAAGCCCGCGUAGGAUUAGCUAGUUGGUGGGGUAAAGGCUCACCAAGGCGACGAUCCUUAGCUGGUCUGAGAGGAUGAUCAGCCACACUGGGACUGAGACACGGCCCAGACUCCUACGGGAGGCAGCAGUGGGGAAUAUUGGACAAUGGGCGGAAAGCCUGAUCCAGCAAUAGCCGC
RNAcentral lists this ribosomal RNA (346 nucleotides) under uncultured bacterium. Its description in RNAcentral is "bacterial SSU rRNA". It matches the Rfam family "Bacterial small subunit ribosomal RNA", at positions 29 to 400 of the family's 1533-position model. The record is from RNAcentral.